RNAcentral lists this ribosomal RNA (246 nucleotides) under uncultured bacterium. RNAcentral describes it as "partial 16S ribosomal RNA". It matches the Rfam family "Bacterial small subunit ribosomal RNA", at positions 524 to 775 of the family's 1533-position model. The record is from RNAcentral.
UACGGGGGGAGCAAGCGUUGUUCGGAUUUACUGGGCGUAAAGGGCGCGUAGGCGGCGUGACAAGUCACUUGUGAAAUCUCCGGGCUUAACUCGGAACGGUCAAGUGAUACUGUCGUGCUAGAGUACAGAAGGGCAACUGGAAUUCUCGGUGUAGCGGUGAAUGCGUAGAUAUCGAGAGGAACACCUGCGGCGAAGGCGGUUGCUGGCUGACACUGACGCUGAGGCGCGAAGCUAGGGAGCGAACGG